Molecule: ribosomal RNA, 252 nt
Filed under: uncultured bacterium
Lineage: Bacteria
Description: partial 16S ribosomal RNA
Rfam family: Bacterial small subunit ribosomal RNA
Source: RNAcentral
UACGGAGGAUGCGAGCGUUAUCCGGAUUUAUUGGGUUUAAAGGGUGCGUAGGCGGACGCUUAAGUCAGCGGUAAAAUUGCGGGGCUCAACCUCGUCGAGCCGUUGAAACUGGGUGCCUUGAGUGGGCGAGAAGUACGCGGAAUGCGUGGUGUAGCGGUGAAAUGCAUAGAUAUCACGCAGAACCCCGAUUGCGAAGGCAGCCUUCCGGCGCCCUACUGACGCUGAGGCACGAAAGUGCGGGGAUCGAACAGG